GCGGAUGUGGUGGAAUUGGUAGACUCAUUGGAUUUAGGUUCCAACGCGUGAGCGUGCAGGUUCGAGUCCUGUCAUCCGCACCA
This 83-nucleotide transfer RNA is filed under the name Oscillospiraceae bacterium. RNAcentral describes it as "tRNA-Leu". It matches the Rfam family "tRNA". Rfam says of the family: Transfer RNA (tRNA) molecules are approximately 80 nucleotides in length. Their secondary structure includes four short double-helical elements and three loops (D, anti-codon, and T loops). Lineage: Bacteria; Bacillati; Bacillota; Clostridia; Eubacteriales; Oscillospiraceae. The record is from RNAcentral.